Molecule: unclassified non-coding RNA, 402 nt
Filed under: Zea mays
Lineage: Eukaryota; Viridiplantae; Streptophyta; Magnoliopsida; Poales; Poaceae
Description: misc RNA Zm00001eb135210
Source: RNAcentral
CUGACGCUCAUCACGCCGCUACAGUGCUGCUGAUUGAGCCACUCCGAGCUGGAGACCGUGCCGCUCGUGUUGUUCGGCGACGGCCGCCGUUGUUGGAAGCCGCCGCCGCUUCCUGCGUGGUCGUCGCGAGCCUCGUCCUCCACGAGACGAUGGGCCGCGAUGGCGUCGUCCCCGUGAUGACGGUCGACGCGCUCAUCUCCUACCUUGAGUCCCUGCAGCUUGGUCACUCCUUCGCUGCAGCUCCGCUGAUGCUGGACCUGCCGUCCGACGACCCAAGCACAAGCGGCUGCGGCGGCGGCGGCGUCGUCUCGACGACGAUCCACCGCCGGCGCCGGUUGCUGCUGCUGCUCCCGUCCGCCUGGAGACUGUGGCGUCCUGCUGCACGUGCACAGACAGACCAAC